This is a long non-coding RNA of Bactrocera latifrons, 596 nucleotides long. RefSeq lists it as uncharacterized. The transcript is spliced from 3 exons. NCBI's taxonomy places the organism in Eukaryota, Metazoa, Arthropoda, Insecta, Diptera, Tephritidae. The record is from RefSeq and is a predicted model, not a curated record.
CAACGUAGCGCGGUUGAUUCGGUGCCGUUAAAACGAUUCACUUUGUUACAUUUUGCAGCGAGCAAGCAAAGGACAUAAGGACAGUUACACUGGCAGCGCAUAGCCUGCAGCUGUGUCUGAUGUCUUCUUGCAGCUCAAAACUUUUGCGCCUUGUUUGAAAUAAAAAAUAAGCAAAAAGCAAAAAGCAAAAAUACAAAAAUAAAAAUCCAACAAUAAACAGAGCAAGACAAACGCAUAAUCCGCUUUCAUGCAAAUCGAAUAAAAGUUACCAGCUUAAAGGCUUAUGAGCCGCCUGUGACAAAAUUAGUGAAAAAAAAUUGUUGUUAUUAUUGUUGUUACCAUUUUGUGGAUUUUGGUACAAAAUAAAUUUCAUAAAAAAAGUGCACAAAUAACGCCGUAAGCUGUACGUGGAAUUAAAUUGAACAACAUGUCGACAUGAUCUUCAGUAAACGAGGCAGUUAAAAUGUCAAAACAAUUAUGACAAACGCUACAUAAAAACUAUACAACCUACAACUUCCCCUAGUCUAUAUACUCCCUAAUUGAAUAUUUCACAACAAAAUACUCUAUCCCAAGAAACAUCGAAAAUUUGUAAAAAA